GAUGAACGCUGGCGGCGCGCCUAACACAUGCAAGUCGAACGAUAGAUGAGGAGCUUGCUCUUCAAAUCGAGUGGCGAACGGGUGAGUAACGCGUGAGGAACCUGCCUCAAAGAGGGGGACAACAGUUGGAAACGACUGCUAAUACCGCAUAAGCCCACGGCUCGGCAUCGAGCAGAGGGAAAAGGAGUGAUCCGCUUUGAGAUGGCCUCGCGUCCGAUUAGCUAGUUGGUGAGGUAACGGCCCACCAAGGCGACGAUCGGUAGCCGGACUGAGAGGUUGAACGGCCACAUUGGGACUGAGACACGGCCCAGACUCCUACGGGAGGCAGCAGUGGGGAAUAUUGCACAAUGGGGGAAACCCUGAUGCAGCGACGCCGCGUGGAGGAAGAAGGUCUUCGGAUUGUAAACUCCUGUUGUUGAGGAAGAUAAUGACGGUACUCAACAAGGAAGUGACGGCUAACUACGUGCCAGCAGCCGCGGUAAAACGUAGGUCACAAGCGUUGUCCGGAAUUACUGGGUGUAAAGGGAGCGCAGGCGGGAGAACAAGUUGGAAGUGAAAUCCAUGGGCUCAACCCAUGAACUGCUUUCAAAACUGUUUUUCUUGAGUAGUGCAGAGGUAGGCGGAAUUCCCGGUGUAGCGGUGGAAUGCGUAGAUAUCGGGAGGAACACCAGUGGCGAAGGCGGCCUACUGGGCACCAACUGACGCUGAGGCUCGAAAGUGUGGGUAGCAAACAGGAUUAGAUACCCUGGUAGUCCACACCGUAAACGAUGAUUACUAGGUGUUGGAGGAUUGACCCCUUCAGUGCCGCAGUUAACACAAUAAGUAAUCCACCUGGGGAGUACGACCGCAAGGUUGAAACUCAAAGGAAUUGACGGGGGCCCGCACAAGCAGUGGAGUAUGUGGUUUAAUUCGACGCAACGCGAAGAACCUUACCAAGUCUUGACAUCCUGCGACGCACAUAGAAAUAUGUGUUUCCUUCGGGAGCAGAGACAGGUGGUGCAUGGUUGUCGUCAGCUCGUGUCGUGAGAUGUUGGGUUAAGUCCCGCAACGAGCGCAACCCUUAUGGUCAGUUACUACGCAAGAGGACUCUGGCCAGACUGCCGUUGACAAAACGGAGGAAGGUGGGGAUGACGUCAAAUCAUCAUGCCCUUUAUGACUUGGGCUACACACGUACUACAAUGGCGUUAAACAAAGAGAAGCAAGACCGCGAGGUGGAGCAAAACUCAGAAACAACGUCCCAGUUCGGACUGCAGGCUGCAACUCGCCUGCACGAAGUCGGAAUUGCUAGUAAUCGUGGAUCAGCAUGCCACGGUGAAUACGUUCCCGGGCCUUGUACACACCGCCC
This 1345-nucleotide ribosomal RNA is filed under the name uncultured bacterium. RNAcentral's name for it is "16S ribosomal RNA". It matches the Rfam family "Bacterial small subunit ribosomal RNA", at positions 28 to 1395 of the family's 1533-position model. The record is from RNAcentral.